CUCCAUGUGACCAUUAAUAAGUAGUUGUAUAAAACUUGCUUUGACGUUGAAUAAUACGAUUGAUGUCGAUUAUUUUUUGUUUUCUCUACUGUAUUGUAUGAUUUUUUUUUUGCCUUUGCUAUUGUGUGUCUUGUUUUUCUCCAUGUUACCAUUAAUAAAUAAGUAUAUACUUUGACGUUGAAUGAUAUGAUCGUGUUUGACGUUUUUUUUUUUUUUUCUCUAAUGCUUGUAUGACAUCUUUUAACAUUAUUGAACGUUUGGCUAAUCUAUCUUAGAUGGGAGAUACACAUGAUGAUAUAACCAUCCUUCACAAGCUUCUUAUGUUUUGGCCCGAAUUGGCCAGAUAUCUUUGGAAAUGUUUUUUAUUUUAUUUUAAAUGUCUAGCAAAUCCCUCAUCAAAACCUUAAA
This 408-nucleotide long non-coding RNA is filed under the name Brassica napus (rape). RNAcentral's name for it is "long non-coding RNA (BNAP_LNC024986)". The record is from RNAcentral. Lineage: Eukaryota; Viridiplantae; Streptophyta; Magnoliopsida; Brassicales; Brassicaceae.